Molecule: small nucleolar RNA, 105 nt
Organism: Spea bombifrons (plains spadefoot toad)
Lineage: Eukaryota; Metazoa; Chordata; Amphibia; Anura; Pelobatidae
Product: small nucleolar RNA SNORD46
Exons: 1
Source: RefSeq, a predicted model, not a curated record
AAUGUGGAUGAUGAAACGGACUCCUUAGGCAAGCGGAGCAGACCGUCUUGGUCGACAUUGUACUGCCUGCCAAUGCUAGGCUCGUCAUAGUUACACUGACACAUU